UUAUAGGGAAGAACAAAUGUGUAWAGUAACUGUGCACAUCUUGACGGUACCUGAUCAGAAAGCACGGCUAACUACGUGCCAGCAGCCGCGGUAAUACGUAGGUGGCAAGCGUUAUCCGGAAUUAUUGGGCGUAAAGCGCGCGUAGGCGGUUUUUUAAGUCUGAUGUGAAAGCCCACGGCUCAACCGUGGAGGGUCAUUGGAAACUGGAAAACUUGAGUGCAGAAGAGGAAAGUGGAAUUCCAUGUGUAGCGGUGAAAUGCGCAGAGAUAUGGAGGAACACCAGUGGCGAAGGCGACUUUCUGGUCUGUAACUGACGCUGAUGUGCGAAAGCGUGGGGAUCAAACAGGAUUAGAUACCCUGGUAGUCCACGCCGUAAACGAUGAGUGCUAAGUGUUAGGGGGKUUCCGCCCCUUAGUGCUGCAGCUAACGCAUUAAGCACUCCGCCUGGGGAGUACGACCGCAAGGUUGAAACUCAAAGGAAUUGACGGGGACCCSCMCAAGCGGUGGAGCAUGUGGUUUAAUUCGAAGCAACGCGAAGAACCUUACCAAAUCUUGACAUCCUUUGACCGCUCUAGAGAUAGAGUCUUCCCCUUCGGGGGACAAAGUGACAGGUGGUGCAUGGUUGUCGUCAGCUCGUGUCGUGAGAUGUUGGGUUAAGUCCCGCAACGAGCGCAACCCUAAGCUUAGUGCCAUCAUAAG
RNAcentral lists this ribosomal RNA (699 nucleotides) under Staphylococcus warneri. RNAcentral's name for it is "bacterial SSU rRNA". It matches the Rfam family "Bacterial small subunit ribosomal RNA", at positions 434 to 1127 of the family's 1533-position model. Lineage: Bacteria; Bacillati; Bacillota; Bacilli; Caryophanales; Staphylococcaceae. The record is from RNAcentral.